CUCAAUAAUGGACUAAGAUAGUCUCAGAUUCAAACAGUGAAGGAAUGAUCACACUUAACAAGAAACUGCCACUAAUCCAAAACUUAUUUUAGCCUAAUUGAUAACACAUCUCUACAGAAAAGCACAACCAGCAAAGAAGAAGCAAGAGGAGGAUUUUUGACACUUUGGAUUUUAACUACUAGAUAGUGUCACGUUCUUAUAUUGAGCAUGUUCAAAGCAGGACAGAGCCUAAAUGUGACACCAAAACACUCCAAGAGAUCUAUGCCCACAAAUAAGAUGUUGAAACCAAGCGAGCAUUCAUCAGUUGUGCAUUUGACACUAAAAUAAAUCACUGUAAGCAUGAACAAGAAACUAAAGAGCAAUUACUCAGCUUAAUUCAUGGAACGAUUUAUUUUAAACAUGUCACUUCUCAUUUGAGUAUGAAACCACAUAAAAAAAUAGAUCCGCGAGGACAAUGAUACACUAGCAGAUUCCAAUUUAAUCCUAUUUCGAGUGAAAACUUUGCACAAAACUACUGAGAACUAGAAAGCUUCCAAGUUUAUCCAUCCAGUUAAGAGAAAUCGAUGUUUACAAACUGAAAUGAUCACAAUCUUGCUUCAAAGGUGAAAACAAAUCACUAGAAAUGGAAACAAAUAGAUAGACAAUACAAACUGGUCGGCAUUCAAGUGUCAAGAUAGUUUGUACAUUUAAUAUCAAGGCGUGAAAAAUACUACGUGUAAUUGGACUGAUUUACGACUACGACAUGAAUAAGCAUGAAAUUUCAGGAAAAUGCACGAGUUGUUCAAAACCUAGUUCAUACACUUUCCAAUAUAGAGAUAACAGAUUCAAACAAUGGAACAAGGACCAACUCGUACUCGAUUUUCAUGCUAGAGAUCACUGAAUUCAACACAUGGACAACGAAGGUAUCACAUGAAAUCAAUUCUGCCCGAACAGAGCAGAAUGGAGCGGGUUGUCAUUCAAAUAUACGCAAAAUCUCAGUACGACCUCAAACAUUCAAACCAAGUUAAUAUCAAACUAGCUAACUUAACUCCAAUUCUUAACCAAACAAAUUAGCGUCAAAACUAACUAGAGAAUGGACAUCGAAUUAAAAAAGAGCAUAAGAAGAUGAACCUGAAAUCGAAUCUUUCUUUUGAUAAUAGAAUCGAAGGCGAUUAGACAACUUCAACUCCAAAACUCCCAUCAGAACACAAUGGUAAAUCAAAACUCGAAGAAUAGCAAACCAAUAGCAGUCGAGCAGAAAUAAGAGGUAGGACAACGACCAACUCAGCAAUUCUCAAACGAGCUCCACUUUAAAAGAACUCAAGCCCACGAAGAAUAUACGAAAAAUAGAAAUUAUGAAGUUCCAAACUAGGUAGAUAUAUCAGAAACAGUUUAAUGUGUUUGGUAUGCAUUACAAGUUAUGCAAACACAGAACAUCCAGCCAGUUAUGCAAAACAUAAAUGCAAUAUUCUCUGUUUCAUAUGCAUUACAAGUUAUGCAAACACAGGACAUCCAGCCAAGCUCUUUUAAUAUUAAUUUUAUAAGUUAUGGAAAAUCUCUUCGCAGUCAUCAGCCAAACACUAGUACACUGCGACGUCUGAUU
RNAcentral lists this long non-coding RNA (1582 nucleotides) under Nicotiana benthamiana. RNAcentral's name for it is "long non-coding RNA (NBEN_LNC008336)". Lineage: Eukaryota; Viridiplantae; Streptophyta; Magnoliopsida; Solanales; Solanaceae. The record is from RNAcentral.